GACGAACGCUGGCGGCGUGCCUAAUACAUGCAAGUCGAACGCAUUUUCUUUCACCGUAGCUUGCUACACCGAAAGGAAAUGAGUGGCGAACGGGUGAGUAACACGUGGGUAACCUGCCCAUCAGCGGGGGAUAACACUUGGAAACAGGUGCUAAUACCGCAUAAUUCCAUUUACCGCAUGGUAGAUGGAUGAAAGGCGCUUUUGCGUCACUGAUGGAUGGACCCGCGGUGCAUUAGCUAGUUGGUGGGGUAACGGCCUACCAAGGCUGCGAUGCAUAGCCGACCUGAGAGGGUGAUCGGCCACACUGGGACUGAGACACGGCCCAGACUCCUACGGGAGGCAGCAGUAGGGAAUCUUCGGCAAUGGACGCAAGUCUGACCGAGCAACGCCGCGUGAGUGAAGAAGGGUUUCGGAUCGUAAAACUCUGUUGUUAGAGAAGAACAAGGAUGAGAGUGGAAAGUUCAUCCCUUGACGGUAUCUAACCAGAAAGCCACGGCUAACUACGUG
Molecule: ribosomal RNA, 507 nt
Filed under: uncultured bacterium
Lineage: Bacteria
Description: partial 16S ribosomal RNA
Rfam family: Bacterial small subunit ribosomal RNA
Source: RNAcentral